CCUACGGGAGGCAGCAGUGAGGAAUAUUGGUCAAUGGCCGUAAGGCUGAACCAGCCAAGUCGCGUGAAGGAAGAAGGAUCUAUGGUUUGUAAACUUCUUUUAUAGGGGAAUAAAGGUAUCCACGUGUGGAUAUUUGCAUGUACCCUAUGAAUAAGCAUCGGCUAACUCCGUGCCAGCAGCCGCGGUAAUACGGAGGAUGCGAGCGUUGUCCGGAUUUAUUGGGUUUAAAGGGUGCGUAGGUUGUUUUUUAAGUCAGCGGUGAAAGUUUGUGGCUCAACCAUAAAAUUGCCGUUGAAACUGGAAGACUUGAGUGAGUGUGAGGUAGGCGGAAUGCGUGGUGUAGCAGUGAAAUGCGUAGAUAUCGCGAAGAACACCGAUUGCGAAGGCAGGUUACUGAGCCAUAACUGACGCUGAAGCACGAAGGCGUGGGGAUCAAACAGGAUUAGAUACCCUAGUAGUC
RNAcentral lists this ribosomal RNA (460 nucleotides) under uncultured bacterium. RNAcentral describes it as "partial 16S ribosomal RNA". It matches the Rfam family "Bacterial small subunit ribosomal RNA", at positions 338 to 795 of the family's 1533-position model. The record is from RNAcentral.